UCAGGACGAACGCUGGCGGCGUGCCUAAUACAUGCAAGUCGAGCGCGGGAAGCAAGCGGAUCCCCUUCGGGGGUGAAGCUUGUGGAACGAGCGGCGGACGGGUGAGUAACACGUGGGCAACCUGCCUGUAAGACCGGAAUAACCCCGGGAAACCGGGGCUAAUGCCGGGUAACACCUACCUUCGCAUGAAGGAAGGUUAAAAGAUGGCUUCUUGCUAUCACUUACAGAUGGGCCCGCGGCGCAUUAGCUAGUUGGUGAGGUAACAGCUCACCAAGGCGACGAUGCGUAGCCGACCUGAGAGGGUGAUCGGCCACACUGGGACUGAGACACGGCCCAGACUCCUACGGGAGGCAGCAGUAGGGAAUCUUCCGCAAUGGACGAAAGUCUGACGGAGCAACGCCGCGUGAACGAUGAAGGUCUUCGGAUCGUAAAGUUCUGUUGUUAGGGAAGAACAAGUACCGUGCGAAUAGAGCGGUACCUUGACGGUACCUAACGAGGAAGCCCCGGCUAACUACGUGCCAGCAGCCGCGGUAAUACGUAGGGGGCAAGCGUUGUCCGGAAUUAUUGGGCGUAAAGCGCGCGCAGGCGGUUUCUUAAGUCUGAUGUGAAAGCCCACGGCUCAACCGUGGAGGGUCAUUGGAAACUGGGGAACUUGAGGACAGAAGAGGAGAGUGGAAUUCCACGUGUAGCGGUGAAAUGCGUAGAUAUGUGGAGGAACACCAGUGGCGAAGGCGACUCUCUGGUCUGUUUCUGACGCUGAGGUGCGAAAGCGUGGGUAGCAAACAGGAUUAGAUACCCUGGUAGUCCACGCCGUAAACGAUGAGUGCUAGGUGUUAGGGGGCUUCCACCCCUUAGUGCUGAAGUUAACGCAUUAAGCACUCCGCCUGGGGAGUACGGCCGCAAGGCUGAAACUCAAAGGAAUUGACGGGGGCCCGCACAAGCGGUGGAGCAUGUGGUUUAAUUCGAAGCAACGCGAAGGAACCUUACCCAGGGUCCUUGACAUCCCUUGGACCCACCCCUAAGAAGAUUAGGGUUCUUUCCCUUUCGGGGGACCAAAG
This 1058-nucleotide ribosomal RNA is filed under the name Halobacillus sp. RNAcentral describes it as "bacterial SSU rRNA". It matches the Rfam family "Bacterial small subunit ribosomal RNA", at positions 24 to 1033 of the family's 1533-position model. Lineage: Bacteria; Bacillati; Bacillota; Bacilli; Caryophanales; Bacillaceae. The record is from RNAcentral.